GAUGACGGUCCUAUGGAUUGUAAACUGCUUUUGUACGAGAAGAAACAACAUUACGUGUAAUGUCUUGACGGUAUCGUAAGAAUAAGGAUCGGCUAACUCCGUGCCAGCAGCCGCGGUAAUACGGAGGAUCCAAGCGUUAUCCGGAAUCAUUGGGUUUAAAGGGUCCGUAGGCGGUUUAGUAAGUCAGUGGUGAAAGCCCAUCGCUCAACGGUGGAACGGCCAUUGAUACUGCUGAACUUGAAUUAUUAGGAAGUAACUAGAAUAUGUAGUGUAGCGGUGAAAUGCUUAGAGAUUACAUGGAAUACCAAUUGCGAAGGCAGGUUACUACUAAUGGAUUGACGCUGAUGGACGAAAGCGUGGGUAGCGAACAGGAUUAGAUACCCUGGUAGUCCACGCCGUAAACGAUGGAUACUAGCUGUUGGGAGCAAUUUCAGUGGCUAAGCGAAAGUGAUAAGUA
This 457-nucleotide ribosomal RNA is filed under the name Flavobacterium sp. Its description in RNAcentral is "bacterial SSU rRNA". It matches the Rfam family "Bacterial small subunit ribosomal RNA", at positions 407 to 866 of the family's 1533-position model. The record is from RNAcentral. Lineage: Bacteria; Pseudomonadati; Bacteroidota; Flavobacteriia; Flavobacteriales; Flavobacteriaceae.